UAGUUUCUGAACAUCACCCACGGAGCAGUUACUCUGCUGCCUCCCUGCUCCCGCUCUCUAUGGCAACCAUUAUUCUGUGUUCUCUCUCUCUCUCUGGAUUUGCCCGUUGUGGAUACUUCCUAUCAGUAGACCCAUACGGCUGCGUGUGGUCUUUUGCGUCUUUCUGAGCCCAGCUCCUGGCUAUACCAGUUGUUGGAGGAGAUGGCUUGCGUUGGAAGCCUCAUGAUUAUUGAAUGAUGCCUACAGUGAACUUUAACACAAAGACAGUAGAGAAAACCCUCCUGACUGAAGCUGAUGCCUCUUGUACUGAAGUUCCAGAGCCUACGGGGCCUUCCAGGAAAUUCUAACAAGUGAAGGAAAUCAGGGAUUGUACAAACACACGCAAUACCAGCAAACGGAGCAGAGACUGGAGAGAGAAACACAAGGGGAGGAGAGCUGAAAGAAGUCAAGUUCACUGACAGGAGGGUACGCACCACAAUGCCUGGCCAUUGUGAGGAUCUUGAGGGUCACUUAAGGGAGGGUUGACUGAUGUGCUAAUGUCUGCGCUCCGGAUUUUCUUGUGCUUCAUCCUGAUGUCGGACCAGUGACCAUUUGUAAACUUUUAGGGGCCGGAAGAGAGAAGGUGGAAUGCGGAAGGAGCAGGCAUGCUGACCUGGCGAUGGUGCUCUGUGGAGGAACUCGGGGCUAGGGCUUUGGAGCUGCAAGUCAUCCUGAUACUUCAAGCAGACGUUAGCAACGCACGGUCGGCAGCACAAAGGCCUUGUGGGUACAAAUCAAGAAAUUAAGAAUGCAGAAUAAAAGAUCCUAAGACUGGAGUGGCUAUUUCAGCUUCAAGUAUGACUUCCUGAAGAGACUCCUGGGAACAUCAUGCCUUGCAUUACAGCUACUGAUCUCAACUAUUAAAGAGGGUGCAGUCAUGUUUCUGUCA
Molecule: non-coding RNA, 928 nt
Organism: Peromyscus maniculatus bairdii (prairie deer mouse)
Lineage: Eukaryota; Metazoa; Chordata; Mammalia; Rodentia; Cricetidae
Source: RefSeq, a predicted model, not a curated record